Molecule: long non-coding RNA, 267 nt
Filed under: Elaeis guineensis (African oil palm)
Lineage: Eukaryota; Viridiplantae; Streptophyta; Magnoliopsida; Arecales; Arecaceae
Description: long non-coding RNA (EGUI_LNC043771)
Source: RNAcentral
CAUUACUCAAUCAAAUUGAGCUAAUUAACAAUCAUAUUGUUAAUUAAUAAUUUUUUAAUUUAUUAACCAUUAGUAAAUAAUUAUUACGAUCUUUUGCAUAGAAUUAAUCAUCAAUCAAAUUGAUAAUUAAAUCUUUCAACGAUUCAUAAUCGUUGAUCAGCCAUUUGAUCAGACAGGUACUUUUAUAUGUGUGACCCCAUAGGUUUGAACCUAAACCGGUAGCAUAAGAAUAAUUUUUAUACUAAUCGAUGUAACCAUCUAGCAAUG